This 724-nucleotide long non-coding RNA is filed under the name Homo sapiens (human). RNAcentral describes it as "non-protein coding lnc-TECRL-15:1". Lineage: Eukaryota; Metazoa; Chordata; Mammalia; Primates; Hominidae. The record is from RNAcentral.
UCCACAGAUGAUCGAAAGAUUGCCUUUGAGACCCUGAAGGUGAAGGAUGAGAAGAGCUUUAAAGAAACUAAAGUCCAGAUGAAAAAAAUACAGAAACUACAGGAUGGCAUAACCAUUUCAAAAGGUAAGAUCAUGAUACACAGCCGUGAGAGUGAAGAUGAAAACUGGUAUGUCCACAAUGACAAGGAAUUUGUCCUUGUACAACUGUGAAAACUUAAGCCCAGGCAGCAUCCCAUGACUUAGUCAAACUCACCCUGGAAAGUAACACUACUCUCAAGGCCCUGAUAAAGAUUGUUGAGAAAAGGGUGAAAAGAUCCUUAAGAUUUCUAAAAUAUGUAGGAAAUUUGAAUACGAAAAAGAAAAAGGGCUUCAUUGUUGUCAGUAUUGACUCCUAAGGAGCAGGAGGAGAUUGAGGAGAAUAACCUAGAAGACCCGAGGAGCUCGCCAAGCUGAUGGUGGACUACAUAGGGAUGGAGAAUUUCCAGAAAUAGUAUGACAAAGUGAAAAUGGAGCAACUGAGCCUUCAACACAGACAAGCCCACUGUUAGAAAACAGUGGGAAGCUGUGGGAGAUGCUGAAGGAGUACUUCAAUGGCAUCUCAGUGAGUGACGAAGUGCUGGGCCAAAUCAACCCACUGUUCAUAGUCAUGCGUGGACGCAGCUUACCCUAGCCCUUGUCCACACCUAUAGCCCAUCCAGGUAACAAACAACAUCCAACCACUUAC